AGGCGCAAAUGCUAAACGCUGACAUAUUUUGGCGGCAUCGGAGAUCUCUUCAACCAAAUCAGCUGUUCGAGACAUAUGUUGCCAAUUGAUUUAUAUGUAGCCAUGCAUGUGUGCAGCAUCAACAGCUGAUUGAUAAGCCCGCUAGAAAAUGUUAGACUACCAAAUGCACUAUAAAAACUGAAACGACGCUAGUUGUCUUUAAAUAUAUAUGUGUACCCAGCGAAUACAUAAAACCACCUCAGCCAUCAAACUUUGAAUGUGGCUAA
Long non-coding RNA from Drosophila novamexicana, 266 nucleotides. RefSeq lists it as uncharacterized. The transcript is spliced from 3 exons. Lineage: Eukaryota; Metazoa; Arthropoda; Insecta; Diptera; Drosophilidae. The record is from RefSeq and is a predicted model, not a curated record.